AAUGAAGAAAGUAUUAACUUCAAAUAAAAACAACGAAUUGAUUCAUAGCAUCUGCAAGUUCAAGGCCUUGUAGAAAUCAUCCCACAUCUCAUGAACAUCCCUUGGACUUGCAUCCUUAAAGCUCCAAAUCACGAUGUGUUUGCAAUAUCAUUUUGGUGAGUAUGGAGUAUCACCCAAUUACAUCAAUUGUAGAGCAGCUGAAUGAUAGGGUUGAUGGGAUAUAAACAAUGAGGGAGAAAAUGUUAACAAUCUAUUGGAAGUUUAAGACUUUAGGCUUGGAGGUAAGGCAAAUUACCUUCAUAUAAAGACUAAACAGGAAAAAUAAACACUUUAUAGAACACCAGGAAAUGGAUCAAAUUGAACUGUAUUCCAGGUACCUUUUAAAGCAGAUUUAACAUUAGUAACAUUAUGCUGCUGCUUUUGCAUAUUUGAUUUGUGAAGAGAGUUGAAACUGUUUCCACAUGCAUUUAGAUCCCUCAAAGAUUCAUGGUUUGCUUCACUGUUGCCAA
RNAcentral lists this long non-coding RNA (509 nucleotides) under Eucalyptus grandis. RNAcentral describes it as "long non-coding RNA (EGRA_LNC002611)". The record is from RNAcentral. Lineage: Eukaryota; Viridiplantae; Streptophyta; Magnoliopsida; Myrtales; Myrtaceae.